This 3531-nucleotide ribosomal RNA is filed under the name Triticum aestivum (bread wheat). RNAcentral's name for it is "partial small subunit ribosomal RNA". Lineage: Eukaryota; Viridiplantae; Streptophyta; Magnoliopsida; Poales; Poaceae. The record is from RNAcentral.
AUGGAGGACUACCCGGAGGAGCUGCGGACGCCGCCGGUGUCGCUGGUGUCCAUCGUGGGGUGCCCGGAGAUGCACGCCACGAUCUCGGCGGCGCUCAGCUCCCAGCAGCCGCCCAUCAACACGCUGGCCCUCCCGGACUUCGCCAAGGCCAACAUCCUCUCCCGCACCGGCAAGAGCCGCGACCCGCUCGCGCCGCCGCAGGCCGCCACGGGGAUCCUCAAGAAGGACUGGCUCCUCAAGCACCGGACGCGGGUGCCCGCCGCCGUCGCCGCCAUGUUCCGGGCCGAUCAGGUCACCGGCGACCCCGCCCAGUGGCUCCAGGCCUGCUCCGAUCUCGAGAACCUCAAGUCUAUAAUCCAGGGAAGACAUACUAAAUUGGUGGUGAUCCUUGUACAGACUCAAGCUGGUGAUGAGCUGGGUGAGGAAGUUAUGGUUGCCCUGAGAAAACGUGCGGAGAUUGAUUCUAAGCACCUGAUUGUGUUGGUUGAGAGUGAUGAAGCAGAACGGAACGCAUCUCUCCUCAAAUUGAGGACUAUUUUUGCGGAGCUGUGUUCCACAUACUAUAAGGGGGAAGGGCGAAGGAUAAAAGCCCGCAUUGAGAAGAGGAACUUCUCUUCUGUGGAGCUGAGUGUCCGCUACUGCUUCAAGGUUGCUGUUUAUGCGGAGUUUAGGCGGGAUUGGCCAGAAGCAUUGAAGUUCUACGAGGAAGGAGUUCGUGUUUUGCGUGAGAUGAUUGGGACUUCAACAAGGUUGCCUCCAACCCAACGCCUAGUUGAGAUAAAAGCAGUCGCCGAUCAAUUUCACUUUAAGAUAUCAACGUUGCUGCUUCAUGCUGGGAAGGUCGUAGAAGCAAUCACAUGGUUCCGUAAACAUAUCCGAAGCUUUGAGCGUGUUGUUGGAUCACCAGAAGUUGCUUUUCUUCAUUGGGAAUGGUUUAGCAGGCAGUUCCUUGUCUUUGGUGAGCUAAUAGAGACAACAUCAACAACUGUUCCAGAUACAAUAUCCCCCCGGUUUGGUACUGCUGACAAUGCAUUGACUGAGUGGGAAUUUCAGCCAGCUUACUACUACCAGUUAGCGGCAAAUUACCUCCGAGAGAAGAGGUGUGCUUUAGAGUGCCCUUCGUCAAGUGCAAAUCUUACCGGUGAUAGCCAAAUACCUGACUCCGUAAUGUCUUCUGUAUAUGUUGGCCAGUAUGUCCGCCUGUUUGAGGAAGGAGAUACCAUUUCUGUGCUUCCCCUUUCUGAUACAGAAUAUACCAGUUAUGCUUUGUCAGAAGCUGAAAGGUUUCAAGAUUCGUAUGAGAUAAUUGCAUUGUUCAGAAAAGCUUAUGAAUCAUUUCUGAGUCUAGGGGCUACGAGAAUGGCUUCUUCCUGUAGUGCUGGAAUGGCUAUAGAAUAUUAUGCAGCUGGGGAAUUUGGUAACGCAAAAAAACUUUUUGAUGGCGUCGUUGGUCUAUACCGUCAGGAGGGCUGGACUACUUUGCUUUGGGAAAACCUGGGUUACUUGAGAGAAUGCUCAAGGAAACUUAAUUCUCUGGUGAAUUUUAUCAGCUAUUCACUAGAGAUGGCUGCAUUACCGUUAUUCUCUGGCAGUGUACAGGGCAACUCUGAAAAUAAAAGUAAUGGACCAGCAGGUUGGCCUACCAUUUCCAGGAGAGAGGAAAUACAGCAAGAAGUUGUCGAUAUUCUUGAAGGAAAACAUACAUCCCAAGUUAUCGAUGAUGAAUUUAAUCUUCAGUUGACGGAAGAAUCUACUCACCUAGUUAUUGAUCAAAUAAGUCCUCUAAGAAUAGUGCUUGUUGCAUCUGUUGCUUUUCAUGACCAAUCUGUAAAACCUGGCUCACCUCUGCUUGUCAGCGUGUCAUUGUUGUCUCAUCUUCCUUCUCCAGUUGCAAUUGAUCAAUUGGAGGUUCAGUUCAACCAAUCUGACUGUAACUUUGUCAUGGUUAGUGCACAGGAAGAUUCUUCUACGUUGAAUUCAGAUGUUUAUGGCCAAGUCGUCCAUUCUACUUCUCUUACAUUGUUCAGCAAUAAAUGGAUGCGGUUGACGCAUGAAGUUAAAUCAGGACAAAGUGGAAAGUUGGAAUGUUUAUCGGUGAAGGCAAUAAUAAAUAAGCACCUUGUGGUUUGCUGCCAGGCUGAAAGUCCUGCUUCAAUGGAAGACUUCCCGCUGUGGAAAUUUGAGGAUCAAGUGGAGACAUUGCCUACAAAGGAUGCUGCACUCGCCUUUUCCGGGCAGAAACUGAUUCAAGUCGAAGAGCCAGACACUCAAGUUGACCUUGUCUUAGAUUCUACUGGCCCUGCGCUGGUUGGAGAGUUGUUUGUUGUCCCAGUAACCAUAUUAUCAAAAGGGCACGCAGUUCAUUCUGGUGAGCUGAAAAUUAAUCUUGUCGAUGCCAAAGGCGGUGGUCUUCUGAUGAGUCCAGGGGAAGCAGACGAAUCUGAAAGCCAUCACGUUGAACUUCUUGGUGUUUCAACCGCAAGUGGGGAUGAAGUGUCGAAGGAAGAAGUCGAUAACAUUAAAAAGAUUCAAUAUUCAUUUGGGGUCGUAUCAGUUCCCACGUUAGUUGCUGGUGAUUCCUGGUCCUGCAAAUUGGAAAUUAAAUGGCAUGGAGCAAAGUCACUCAUGCUCUAUGUUUCACUUGGCUAUUCUCUAGACUCGAGUGAAGAUGCAUCACUACACAGACUUAACGUGCACAGAAGCUUGCAAGUUGAAGGAAAGAUCCCCAUGAUAGUUGGUCACCAGUUUUUGAGACCAUUUAGGCGAGAACCCUUGUUGCUAUCCAGGAUCAGAUCCUCAAGCGACAACAAUAAAAAAGAUUCACUUGCUAUGAACGAGUCCAAUAUGCUUAUUGUGAGUGCUAGAAAUUGCACCGAGGUCCCUUUGCGUUUGCACUCGAUAGCCAUUGAAUCUGAUGGUGAUGGGAAGCAGCUGUGCUCUGUGGAACAAAUCAGCGGACUAUCGGAUGAAUACGCGGUUGUUGCUCCUAGCGCAGAAUACAAAGCAAUAUUUUCAGUCAAUCCAAGGGCCAGCAAUCCAGACUUUUAUUUAGGUGAACUUUGCCUGAACUGGUCAAGAGAUUUAGUCCUUGGAGAGAAUCAAGAUAGCCGUGUUACAAUGAAGCAAAGAUUACCCGAGGUUCAUAUCGAGGAGCCGCCGCUUGUUGUGAGCAUCGAGUGCCCUCCCUACGCUAUCCUCGGGACCCCGUUCACUUUCUAUGUGAAGAUCCACAAUUCAACAUCCUUACUCCAGGAAAUCAAGUACUCUCUUGUUGAUUCCCAGAACUUUGUUUUCUCUGGGGCUCACAAUCAUGCCGCAUUCAUUCUGCCGAAAACCGAGCAUACUGUUAGUCACAAGCUCGUGCCGCUUGGUUCCGGUUCCCAGCAGCUGCCGAGGAUAACAGUAACUUCGGUGAGGUACUCUGCUGCAUUGACUCCUCCAACCUCAGCCACAUCCGUCUUUGUGUAUCCCAGCGAGCCCAAAUUCAACCUGGAAAAGAGCCACCCCAUAUCCGAUGAAUGCGUGAGCUAG